RNAcentral lists this transfer RNA (86 nucleotides) under Candidatus Portnoyibacteriota bacterium. RNAcentral describes it as "tRNA-Tyr". It matches the Rfam family "tRNA". Rfam says of the family: Transfer RNA (tRNA) molecules are approximately 80 nucleotides in length. Their secondary structure includes four short double-helical elements and three loops (D, anti-codon, and T loops). The record is from RNAcentral. Lineage: Bacteria; Candidatus Portnoyibacteriota.
GGGUAGGUGCCGGAGUGGUUAAACGGAGCAGUCUGUAAAACUGCCGCCUUAUGGCUACGGGGGUUCGAAUCCCUCCCUGCCCACAA